This 408-nucleotide ribosomal RNA is filed under the name uncultured bacterium. RNAcentral's name for it is "partial 16S ribosomal RNA". It matches the Rfam family "Bacterial small subunit ribosomal RNA", at positions 28 to 526 of the family's 1533-position model. The record is from RNAcentral.
GACGAACGCUGGCGGCGUGCUUAACACAUGCAAGUCGAACGAAGUGGCGAACGGGUGAGUAACGCGUAAUCAACCUGCCCUUCAGAGGGGGAUAAAAGUUGGAAACGACUGCUAAUACCGCAUACUGAAGGAGGGGAUUGCGUCUGAUUAGCUAGUUGGAUGGGUAACGGCCCACCAAGGCGAAGAUCAGUAGCCAGUCUGAGUGGAUGAGCGGCCACAUUUGGACUGAGACACGGCCCAGAUUCCUACGGGAGGCAGCAGUGGGGAAUCUGCCGAAAUGGACGAAAGUCUGACGGAGCAACGCCGAGGGAGUGAGGACGGCCUUCGGGUUGUAAAGCUCUUUUAAUCGGGACGCGGUACCGGAAUAGAAAGCCACGGCUAACUACGUGCCAGCAGCCGCGGUAAUUC